Molecule: ribosomal RNA, 243 nt
Filed under: uncultured Actinomycetales bacterium
Lineage: Bacteria; Bacillati; Actinomycetota; Actinomycetes; Actinomycetales
Description: partial 16S ribosomal RNA
Rfam family: Bacterial small subunit ribosomal RNA
Source: RNAcentral
UACUCGAGUGGCGAACGGGUGAGUAACACGUGGGUGAUCUGCCCUGCACUUCGGGAUAAGCCUGGGAAACUGGGUCUAAUACCGGAUAGGAGCCAGUUUUAGUGUGAUGGUUGGAAAGUUUUUUCGGUGUAGGAUGAGCUCGCGGCCUAUCAGCUUGUUGGUGGGGUAAUGGCCUACCAAGGCGGCGACGGGUAGCCGGCCUGAGAGGGUGGACGGCCACAUUGGGACUGAGAUACGGCCCAG